Molecule: ribosomal RNA, 274 nt
Filed under: uncultured bacterium
Lineage: Bacteria
Description: partial 16S ribosomal RNA
Rfam family: Bacterial small subunit ribosomal RNA
Source: RNAcentral
AUACGGAGGGUCCGAGCGUUAUCCGGAAUCAUUGGGUUUAAAGGGUCCGUAGGCGGGAAUCUAAGUCAGUGGUGAAAUCUUGCAGCUCAACUGUAAAAUUGCCGUUGAUACUGGAUUUCUUGAAUUAGUGUGAAGUGGUUAGAAUGUGUAGUGUAGCGGUGAAAUGCAUAGAUAUUACACAGAAUACCAAUUGCGAAGGCAGAUCACUAACACUAUAUUGACGCUAAGGGACGAAAGCGUGGGGAGCGAACAGGAUUAGAAACCCCAGUAGUCC